Long non-coding RNA from Ailuropoda melanoleuca (giant panda), 1570 nucleotides. RefSeq lists it as uncharacterized. The record is from RefSeq and is a predicted model, not a curated record. The transcript has 3 exons. NCBI's taxonomy places the organism in Eukaryota, Metazoa, Chordata, Mammalia, Carnivora, Ursidae.
GAAACCGUGGAGCCGCUGAUUGGCUUCUCCAGAAACGCGACACCCAAUGGGAAUGCGAACUGGGGGCGCGUCAGGAGUCUCCAGGCAGGAGGACCUGCCACAGGUUGUGAAAGGGAGAAGUGAAACCCAAGAGAUGGGGACUCCCCAACAUUGAGCUGCCCCGCCCCAGACACUGCCCUGGGUCUGAGACCCUGAGAGGCAGGUCCAGGGACCUGGAACUUUGCCCGGACCCGUCCCCUACUACACAGCGCGCUCCUUGUCACAGUGUCUCCCUGAGUUGUGGCCCAGGAGCUGGAUCCCAACAGAAAAGUUUGUCAGCAGUGAGAAGCUGUCAAGUUUAUUGGGGGAUCACAAGUUCUCCAAAACUCUGAUUUUCUCUUGAGAGCUGACAUUUGAUCAAGGCAACAAGUCCUCUCAGCUGUCAUAUGUGAGCUGAUUGUCAUGAAAGGGCAUUUCAUUUGCACGUAGGUAAAACAUCCCUAGAAAAAGAAUCUCAGGAUUUUCCUUCGUGUUGUUUUCAUCUUGCUUCUUCAUGGUCCCUGAUGCCAGCUGCGGUUGUCAGGACAAUGAAACCAAACCGGAAGGACGGGAGCAGAAUUUCCUGCCAAUUUUUGUAGAGCUUUGAGUUGUACGUCAGACCUGGGGCUGCUCACUCCACGCGUGUUUAACCUGCCCCUGGGGUUCCCGACAAUGUUCCCAGCUCUGUGAUCAGCAGUGACUUCAUACCCGCCAAUGUAACCGAGCUUCCUCAUCACAGUUGGAAAUGGGACGAUGACUUUGGAGCAUGGCCUAAUAAGACCUGCCUUUUGCCUCUCUCUCAGGCAUUGUCAGGCAUCCAGGGACCACAUUUUGAGAACGGCUGCUCUGACUAACCCCAGGAGAGUCUCCCAGCUGGUCCUGCCCUGGCCUCCUCUUCACUCAGCAGAAUCCCUUUCCCUGAGAUGCACUUGCUGCCUCUGAAAACUCAGCUCUGACUCUAGCCCCUGAGUGCGUCUAGAAGAGAACUCACCUCCUGGAAAUGUGAUGGCAGAGAGGGUCCCCAGUCUGGGAAGGGACGUGGAGGAACAGAGAUUUCCCUUUUGUUUGGAACAGUUUGUGCUGAAGGCACCAGACCCAUGCAUAAGCGACUUUGAUUUUGUGACACACCAGCCUCAUAUGUAUUCGCAUGCCAGAUGGAAUCUGAUGUCGUCUGUAGGAGAAAUCAUGUUGGUCUUUUCCCUUGACAUGUGUCUAGUACAUCCGACUCAAGGCCUGCAAAGCACACAGAGCGGUACCGUCCAAUACAACAUUCUGUGCGGAGGGAAUUGUUCUGUGUCCCGCCGUCCAGUACAGUGGCCACGAGAUGCAUGUAGCUCUGGAGAUGCAGGGGGCACUUGAAAUGGGGCUGGUGAGCUGGGCAGCUGCAUUUAUAAUUGUUUUAAAUGAAUAGGAAGUUAAGUAGCCCUAGGUGGCUCGGAGCUACUAUUCAGACAGUAUGUAUCUAGAACGCCCUUAGUUUUCAGGAUUCUCCUCAAGGAAGAUACUGUGUGACUCAUAGGUGUAUGUGUAUUAAAUUUAUCUUCACAUGGAA